Molecule: long non-coding RNA, 3361 nt
Organism: Oncorhynchus nerka (sockeye salmon)
Lineage: Eukaryota; Metazoa; Chordata; Actinopteri; Salmoniformes; Salmonidae
Exons: 3
Source: RefSeq, a predicted model, not a curated record
CACUUUCACUUUAGACUGACUUCGCUUUUCCUGAUUUAUUCACCAUGAUAUCUUCAAUGAAUUCGUUGAAAAUACAACUUUCCGAAAUACUGCUGCGCGUAACAAGCGUCACAGCGAGUCCUCUCAUAGUCAAGGGAUGGUGGUCCAACCCAAAACCAUUACAUACUGGCGUUUACCUCAGCUCAUUGGCUAUCUACCCAGCUAGAUUUCAAGAAGAUCAGUGGUCAUUGGGCAGAAAUACAGUCAAUCAAUGAAGCUUCGCUAAAAUUAUUGUGCGCAAGGAAGAAGUUUGGCUGUGUUGCAAACAUCCAGAGGAAUGCACUGAAACUUACCAUGACUAGAUAAACGAUUGUUUACGGGUUGAAUGCUCCGUAAAAAAAUGAUAGAGAUGGAAUUCGCGGCACAAAUGGUUUACAAAAUGUUUCGAUUUAGGCUAUAAAAAUGGAUUUUAUCAAACAAAACGGCACUUCAUUUGAUCACUGGGACCCUCAGGAAGAGAAAUAAGAGCAAGAUAUCAGAAUGGAUCGCAGCCAUAAGAGGUUUUAAUGUCGGACGGGGCUACAGUGUCUCCCGAUCCCUCCUGUCUCAGCCUCCAGUAUUUAUGCUGAAAAAGUGUAUGUGUCGGAGGAUAGGGUCAGUCUGUUAUAUCUGGAGUAUUUCCCCUGUCUUAUCCGGUGUCCUGUGUGAAUGUAUGCUCUCUCUAAUUCUCUCUUUUUUUCUCUCUUUCUUUUCUCUCUUUCUUUCUUUCUUUCAUUCUCUCUCUCUGAGGACCUGAGCCCCAGGACCAUGCCUCAGGACUACCUGGCCUGAUGACUCUUUGCUGUCCCCAGUCCACCUGGUCGUGCUGCUGCUCCAGUUUCAACUGUUCUGCCUGCGGCUAUGGAACCCUGACCUGUUCACCGGAUGUGAUACUUGUCCCAGACCUGCUGUUUUCAACUCUCUAGAGACAGCAGGAGCGGUAGGGAUACGCUGAAUUAUCGGCUAUGAAAGUCAACUGACAUUUACUCCUGAGGUGCUGACCUGUUGCACCCUCAACAAUCACUGUGAUUGUUAUUAUUUGACCCUGCUCUUCAUCUAUGAACAUUUGAACAUCUUGACCAUGUUCUGUUAUACUCUCCACCCGGCACAGCCAGAAGAGGACUGGCCACCCCUCAUAGUCUGGUUCCUCUCUAGGUUUCUUCCUAGGAUCUGGCCUUUCUAGGGAGUUUUUCCUAGCCACUGUGCUUCUACACCUGCAUUGCUUGCUGUUUGGGGUUUUAGGCUGGGUUUCUGUACAGCACUUUGUGACAUCAGCUGAUGUAAGUCGGGCUUAAUAAAUACAUUUGAUUGAUUGAUUGACACUCACACAAAACCUGCACACAUACAAACACACACACACACACACACACACACACACACACACACACACACACACACACACACACACACACACACACACAACAAAAACACACAUACAUAUACACUUUUACACUCAUCAUUUGCUGCUGCUACUCUGUUCUUUAUUUGUCUAUUCCAUGCGAGAAAUUGCCAAGAAACUGAUCUUUACUUUAGGAAUUCAAAAGUACAAUUCUUGUCUUUCAUAAUUUGGUCCGAUAUACUUGGAUGUGUAGUGUCAGCAUUUGUUGCUGGCAUGUCAUCCCUAAAUUUGCUUAUCUUGCCAAUGAAAAAGUUAUUUGAAUUAGUUUACAAUAUCAGUGGGCUUUGUGAUGAAUGAGCCAUCUGAUUCAAAGAAUGAAGGAGCCGAGUUGGCUUUUUUCACAAAUAUUUCAUUUAAUUAAGGUACCCCAAAGCUUUUUACUCUCAUUAUUUAUAUUGUUUGUUUCAUAGUGUAGUUUAUUUUCAUUUUUAUUUUGUUUAGUCACAGAUUUCUUCAUUUGCAGUACGUUUGCCAAUCAGUUGGGCUGCCAGACUUAAUUGCCAUACCUUUUGCCUCAUCCCUUUCAACCAUAACAUUUUUCAAUUCCUCAUCAAUCCAAGGGGAUUUAACAGUUUUUACAGUCAUUUUCUUCAUGGCUUAUUAGUAACUAAGUUGUAUUCGGCGCAUGUGACAAAUACCAUUUGAUUUGAUGUGUGCGUGCGUGCAUUCCUUCUGGUUGCCUCAGUGGGGUCUUUACUCCACAGUGUGAGAGCUACUGCACAGAUAGAGCUAAUAGCGUCAGUGGACAGUUGUGUUCCCAGCCGUGUCUCCUGAGAUGUGGGUGUGAUGGUCACUACAGCAGAAGUGCAAAGGGCUCUGAUUACUCCCUACUCCCUCAGCUGCUUCACGGUUAUGACAAGCUCUCUCUCUAGACCGUGAGACCCUAACUUCCUUCUCUCUGCGGGCCCGCAGGAGAAAAACAAAAGGCUCUGAGAACCUAUUACACCCACAGAGAAGCCUUCUUAAGUGAGAUAGCAAUCCUCUAUCAUACAAAACGGUCAAUACUUUUGUCACAUAAGAGCAAAAUAACAGAAAGACUAUGCCAGAUACUCGCAAGCCCAUAAGACCACAAAAACACAUUACCAAACACAAGUCAUACCAUUCCACUUUUACAUGCCUAACAAUAACUCAACUUUUCCAAAUACGUGAUGUCGAGGCAGGCAAUUCAAUUUGAGGUAAAGAACUUGUCCCCCUCCACCAACCCACUAGAGUGAGAUAAUAAUUUAUCAAUCUGCCCUGAUAGGCAGUCUCUGUCCAACUUUACAUUAGGUUAUUUGGUCGAAAUGGGUAAAUAGUUCCAUUAGACCCACAGGGGAGGCAUUUCUCAGGCUGCCUAAUUGAGGAGUGACAGGGCAAAUGACUCACAUCCUGUAAGGGGUCCCAGUGGUGCCAUUAACAUCCUCAUUACAGUUGGCAAUGCUUAGUGUUUCAGUCCUUCGGUUCUGUAAGCAUGUCCAACCUCUGCCCUGUUUACAUGGGACAUAAGGAGUUACCUUGUUGUUCACUUAGAGACAUUCCUAAUAGUACUGUAGGGUAUAGUCAAGUCAAAUAUCGGUAUGAGCAAACUGAUAUACUGUGUAGGCCUAUUUGCUUGACGUUUGUAAAUAUGUAAAUCAAUACUAAAAACAAGAAAAUCAAUACAUGUCAAAAGCAGAAGCACGAGUGUUUCUCAACAGCUUUUACAGUAACCUGCACAGAUACAAGACAAACACCAGACACGAGAGGGAGUUAAAAUCCUGUGAGAAGUAGAGAUUAUGGGGAGAGAGGGCGUGAGAGGAGGAGAGUCUCCUACUGUCUCACUGUUUCCAAUGGGGUUCAUUCAUCAUCCUGAGAAUCCACAUGCUCAACAUGUUAGUCGUGGAAAUGUAGCCAUGUCUGGAUAGAUCUUGAUGGAUUACCUGCAUACUUCAGAUCUGGUCCAAACUGAGACAGGCAGACCCGGAU